Molecule: ribosomal RNA, 253 nt
Filed under: uncultured bacterium
Lineage: Bacteria
Description: partial 16S ribosomal RNA
Rfam family: Bacterial small subunit ribosomal RNA
Source: RNAcentral
UACGGAGGGUGCAAGCGUUAUCCGGAAUCACUGGGUUUAAAGGGUCCGCAGGCGGGAUAAUAAGUUAGUGGUGAAAUAUCGGGGCUCAACCUCGGUGCUGCCAUUAAAACUGUUGUUCUUGAGUUUAGUUGAAGUGGGCGGAAUAUAGCAUGUAGCGGUGAAAUGCGUAGAUAUGCUAUAGAACACCGAUUGUGAAGACAGCUCACUAAGUUAUAACUGACGCUGAGGGACGAAAGCGUGGGUAGCGAACAGG